GUACUGCUGAUGAGUCCCACAAUAGGACGAAAUGGACUUCCAGUGC
Non-coding RNA from Schistosoma mattheei, 46 nucleotides. Lineage: Eukaryota; Metazoa; Platyhelminthes; Trematoda; Strigeidida; Schistosomatidae. The record is from Rfam.